AACGUAGGUGGCAAGCGUUAUCCGGAUUUACUGGGCGUAAAGCGUGUGCAGACGGGUCAACAAGUAGUGUAUGAAAACUUCGGGCUUAACCCGGAGACUGUAUGCUAGACUGUUGGUCUAGGGUGUGAGAGAGGGAGAUGGAAUUCCGGGUGUAGUGGUGAAAUGCGUAGAGAUCCGGAGGAACCCCAGAGGCGAAGGCGGUCUCCUAGCUCACAACCGACGUUCAGACACGACAGCAUGGGGAGCAAACGGG
Molecule: ribosomal RNA, 253 nt
Filed under: uncultured bacterium
Lineage: Bacteria
Description: partial 16S ribosomal RNA
Rfam family: Bacterial small subunit ribosomal RNA
Source: RNAcentral